AGCAGUCGCCGCGGUAAUACGGAGGGAGCUAGCGUUGUUCGGAAUUACUGGGCGUAAAGCGCACGUAGGCGGCUUUGUAAGUCAGAGGUGAAAGCCUGGAGCUCAACUCCAGAACUGCCUUUGAGACUGCAUCGCUUGAAUCCAGGAGAGGUGAGUGGAAUUCCGAGUGUAGAGGUGAAAUUCGUAGAUAUUCGGAAGAACACCAGUGGCGAAGGCGGCUCACUGGACUGGUAUUGACGCUGAGGUGCGAAAGCGUGGGGAGCAAACAGGAUUAGAUACCCCUGUAGUCCCUGUCUCUUAUAC
RNAcentral lists this ribosomal RNA (303 nucleotides) under uncultured bacterium. RNAcentral describes it as "partial 16S ribosomal RNA". It matches the Rfam family "Bacterial small subunit ribosomal RNA", at positions 507 to 807 of the family's 1533-position model. The record is from RNAcentral.